RNAcentral lists this ribosomal RNA (488 nucleotides) under uncultured bacterium. Its description in RNAcentral is "bacterial SSU rRNA". It matches the Rfam family "Bacterial small subunit ribosomal RNA", at positions 28 to 521 of the family's 1533-position model. The record is from RNAcentral.
GACGAACGCUGGCGGCGUGCUUAACACAUGCAAGUCGAGCGGGAUCCAACCGGUGGCAACACCGGGGAAGAUCUAGCGGCGAACGGGUGAGUAACACGUGAGCAACCUGCCCCGAAGACUGGGAUAACACCGGGAAACCGGUGCUAAUACCGGAUGUCGUCAUUAGGCCGCAUGACCUGAUGAUGAAAGGAUUCAUCGCUUCGGGAGGGGCUCGCGGGCUAUCAGCUUGNGGUGGGGUAACGGCCUACCAAGGCGACGACGGCUAGCUGGUCUGAGAGGACGACCAGCCACACUGGGACUGAGACACGGCCCAGACUCCUACGGGAGGCAGCAGUGGGGAAUCUUGCGCAAUGGGCGAAAGCCUGACGCAGCAACGCCGCGUGGGGGAUGAAAUCCUUCGGGUUGUAAACCUCUUUCAGCUCCGACGAAGCGAGAGUGACGGUAGGAGCAGAAGAAGCACCGGCCAACUACGUGCCAGCCGCCGCGGU